GUCUUUACUAGUGAAUGGUAGAUAGCUGAGAGGUCUUUACUAGUGAAUGGUAGAUAGCUGAGAGGUCUUUACUAGUGAAUGGUAGAUAGCUGAGAGGUCUUUACUAGUGAAUGGUAGAUAUGGCCAUAGCAUCAUGUCUUCCAGAUCAGAAAUAGUCAUUUGACUGGGCCUGUCUGUCUGUCUGUCUGUCUGUCUGUCUGUCUGUCUGUCUGUCUGUCUGGGCCGUUUAAGAAGCAUCAUGUCCUUCCAGAACAGAGACAGUCCUCUAACUGGGUCUGUCUGUCUGUCUGCCUGUCUGCCUGUCUGUCUGUCUGUCUGUCUGUCUGUCUGUCUGUCUGUCUGUCUGUCUGUCUGUCUGUCUGCCCUGGCUGUUUAAGAAGCAUCAUGUCCUUCCAGAACAGAGACAGUCCUCUAACUGGGUCUGUCUGUCUGUCUGCCUGUCUGCCUGUCUGUCUGUCUGUCUGUCUGUCUGUCUGUCUGUCUGUCUGUCUGUCUGUCUGUCUGUCUGUCUG
This is a long non-coding RNA of Oncorhynchus tshawytscha (Chinook salmon), 512 nucleotides long. The record is from Ensembl. Lineage: Eukaryota; Metazoa; Chordata; Actinopteri; Salmoniformes; Salmonidae.